RNAcentral lists this long non-coding RNA (457 nucleotides) under Chinchilla lanigera (long-tailed chinchilla). RNAcentral's name for it is "lncRNA (ENSCLAG00000023209.1)". Lineage: Eukaryota; Metazoa; Chordata; Mammalia; Rodentia; Chinchillidae. The record is from RNAcentral.
UGUGAUGCCCCUCAAGGUGGUCACCUUCCUAGCAGGCCCAAGCCUCAAGCUCUGGCUCAGCGCAGCAGAUGCCAACGAACUCCCAUGAAUUCUACAGCUACAAGAAAAUGAACUCUCUGACCCCUUAGGCAUGUGAACCUCUCUCUUUGGCCACACCUGCGCCUUGGAGCCCGGCCCUAGUCAGCACCCAGACUCAGAGCCUCGGGACACCCUAAGCCACGGGUGCCCAGCCCUUGGCUUGCCCGGGCUGUGUUGAGCGAAGAGGAAUUGUCUUACGCCACAUACAAAAUAUAGAAUAUAGUUAGUGUGUCUCAGUCACAACAUUCCUUUAAAAAUAUUCUUAUUAUAACAUUAAAAUGAAAUGACACAAGCCCACAUUGAACAAUUGAAUAAGAAAACUUACGUGUCUGCUUAAUAACAAUAAAUAAAUGCCUGUCUUCACCGGCACACAUACGAG